GUAGGUGGCAAGCGUUGUCCGGAAUUAUUGGGCGUAAAGCGCGCGCAGGCGGUUCUUUAAGUCUGAUGUGAAGGCCCACGGCUCAACCGUGGAGGGUCAUUGGAAACUGGAGAACUUGAGUACAGAAGAGGAAAGCGGAAUUCCACGUGUAGCGGUGAAAUGCGUAGAGAUGUGGAGGAACACCAGUGGCGAAGGCGGCUUUCUGGUCUGUAACUGACGCUGAGGCGCGAAAGCGUGGGGAGCAAACAGGAUUAGAUACCCUGGUAGUCCACGCCGUAAACGAUGAGUGCUAAGUGUUAGGGGGGUUUCCGCCCCCCUUAGUGCUGCAGCUAACGCAUUAAGCACUCCGCCUGGGAUACGGCCGCAAGGCUG
RNAcentral lists this ribosomal RNA (372 nucleotides) under uncultured organism. RNAcentral's name for it is "partial 16S ribosomal RNA". It matches the Rfam family "Bacterial small subunit ribosomal RNA", at positions 527 to 896 of the family's 1533-position model. The record is from RNAcentral.